Molecule: ribosomal RNA, 480 nt
Filed under: uncultured bacterium
Lineage: Bacteria
Description: bacterial SSU rRNA
Rfam family: Bacterial small subunit ribosomal RNA
Source: RNAcentral
GGACGAACGCUGGCGGCGUGCCUAACACAUGCAAGUCGAACGAGCGCAAGGAGCUUGCUCCUUGUUGCGAGUGGCGGACGGGUGAGUAACGCGUGAGGAACCUGCCCUUGAGAGGGGGAUAACGUCCGGAAACGGACGCUAAUACCGCAUAACAUGUUCAAAUCGCAUGGUUUGAACAUCAAAGGAGCAAUCCGCUGAAGGAUGGCCUCGCGUCUGAUUAGAUAGUUGGUGAGGUAACGGCUCACCAAGUCGACGAUCAGUAGCCGGACUGAGAGGUUGAUCGGCCACAUUGGGACUGAGACACGGCCCAGACUCCUACGGGAGGCAGCAGUGAGGGAUAUUGCACAAGUAGGGGGGAAACCCUGAUGCAGCAACGCCGCGUGAAGGAAGACGGUUUUCGGAUUGUAAACUUCUGUUUUGGGUGACGAUAAUGACGGUAGCCCGAUAGAAAGCCACGGCUAACUACGUGCCAGCCGCCGC